This is a non-coding RNA of Marmota flaviventris (yellow-bellied marmot), 2434 nucleotides long. NCBI's taxonomy places the organism in Eukaryota, Metazoa, Chordata, Mammalia, Rodentia, Sciuridae. The record is from RefSeq and is a predicted model, not a curated record.
UUUUAUCACUGGAUGAAUAUUCAUUAAUUGAAAGACCUGGCAUCUUGAGAACCUUAAAUAGUAUCAACAGGAUUUCAUGAUAGCCUGUCCUCCUCCAUUUCCUCCAUCUACAUGAAUGUGAGGGCUGGUCCUGGGUGAGCUGGAGUAGCUUGUUCUUACAGGUAUCUGACGUUCAAGGAUGUGGCUGUGCUCUUUACUCGGGAUGAGUGGAAAAAGCUGGAUCCUUCCCAGAGAAACUUGUAUCGGGAGGUGAUGCUGGAGAACUAUAGUAACCUGGCCUCACUGGGAGGACUCCCAUUUAUCAAACCAAAGGUGAUCUCCCUGUUACAGGAGGGAGAAGAUCCCUAGAAGGUAGAGAAAGAAAAUUCUGGAAGCACCUCUCUUGCAUGGAAGAACUAUCAUAAGACCACAAAGUCAACUCAAACACAGGACUCUUCAUUUCAGAGAUUGAUAAUGAACAGAUCCAGAAGGAAUGGACUUGGACCCUUGGAUUUGAAAUCAGAAAAAUCUUGAUAUAUGAAGGCAAAUUAGAGAAAAAACAGGAUUAAAAAGGAAAUUUUUCAGAUAGUUUCAGUCACCCACAAAAAAACCCUAACUGUAGAAAGAAGCCAUAAAAAUGUUGAAUUUAGCCAGAACUUCAACCCAAAGUCAGUAGUUGUUAGGCAACAGAUAGUUCCCAGAGAGAAACCACCACCAAAAUGUGAAAAAAAGUCGAACACUUUGAAACAUAAUUCAAAUUUACCUAAUCAGCCAAAAAUGACAGCAGGUAAAUGCUAUCAAUGUAGUAUGUGUGAGAAAACCUUUAUUAAUACUUCUUCCCUUCAUAAACAUGAGAAAAAUCAUAGUGGAGAGAAAUUAUUUAAAUGUAAAGACUGUUCCAAAGCCUUUAGCCAAAGUUCAGCUCUUAUUCAACCUCAAAUAACUCAUACCGGAGAGAAACCUUACAUAUGUAAAUAAUGUGGGAAAGCCUUCACUCUCAGUACAUCCCUGUAUAAGCAUCUAAGAACCCACACUGUCAAGAAAUCUUAUAGAUGUAAGGAAUGUGGUAAGUCCUUCAGCUGAAGGUCAGGGCUUUUUAUACAUCAGAAAAUCCAUGCUGGAGAAAACCCUUAUAAAUAUAAUCCAGGUAGGAAAGCAUCUGGUUGCAACACAUCCCUUCCUGGUCAAAGAGUUCAUCCCAGAAAGAAGUCCUAUUUGUGUAAGGAAAUGUAGCAACACCUUUAAAUCUAGUUCAUCCCUUCAUUAUCAUCAGAUAAUUCACACUGGAGAGAAAACUUUCAAAUGUGGUGAAUGUGGGAGAGCCUUCAGUCAGAGUGCAUCACUUAUUCAACACGAAUGAAUUCACACUGGCGAAAAGCCCUAUCGAUGUAAUGAAUGUGGAAAAGGCUUCACUUCUAUUUCACGACUCAAUAGACAUCGAAUAAUUCAUAUUGGUGAGAAGUUUUAUAAUUGUAAUGAAUGUGGCAAGGCCUUAAUUUCCCAUUCAACUCUUAUCAUUCAUGAGAGGAUUCACACCGGAGAGAAACCAUGUAAAUGUAAAGUGUGUGGGAAACUCUUCAGGCAGAGUUCAGCUCUCAUUCAGCAUCAGAGAAUGCACACUGGAGAAAGACCCUACAAAUGCAAUGAGUGUGGGAAAACAUUCAGGUGUAACUCAUCCCUUAGUAAUCAUCAGAAAAUCCAUACUGGAGAGAAACCUUAUCAAUGUGGGGAAUGUGGGAUGUUAUUUGGCCAAAGUUCAGCCCUUAUUCAACAUCGAAGGAUUCAUACAGGAGAGAAACCCUUUAAAUGUAAUACUUGUGGGAAAACAUUUAGACAAAGCUCCUCACGUAUUGCACACCAGAGAAUUCAUACAGGGGAGAAACCCUAUGAGUGUGACACAUGUGGGAAAUGUUUCAACCAUAGGUCAUCCCUUACUAAUCACUAUAAAAUCCAUAUGGAAGAAGAACCCUAGAAAGUAGAUUUGCAUGUGUAAAAGCCUUAAACCAAAGCUCAUCAGAGAAUACAUACUUCAAGGGUGAUGUAAUAAAUGUAAUGGAUAUUGAAAAAGCCCAAAAUCAUUUAGUGCCCAUUAGCUAUCAAAUCCCAUGAACAAAUCUUGAUUAUGUAAUAGCUAAAAGGAAAGCAUUCAUACCUGUUGCUUUUUAAAAUAACUUGAGGAUUCAUAAGUGGAGACACUAACUUUGGGCAUUUGUAAAAUAAAAGGUGUUUGAUUUUCCUCUUUCCUACAGCAGUGUAGUCUAGCUAUCACAUGUGAUCAUCAUAAACAUCAAGUGGAUAGGGAUUUCUCUGGUUUUCUCAUAAAAACACCAAACUCUACACAUGAUAUUUUUUAUAACAUUUUAGUAGCAUAUGAGUGAAUGAAUCAAAGAAAUUAUACAUUUUUAAUGAAAAGGACCAAAAUAAAAGAUUAAAAUAAACUGUAAACUACCUCUCA